GAUCCAGACCCUGGAGCCAGCGCAAGACAGAACGACUCAGGCGGGAGCUCCUAGGCGGAUGUGGAUACACCAGACAUUUCUUAGGCUUCUUUCCUGCGGGAACUGCUGGUGGUGUAGAUAAAUGUAGCUCUCACUCCUCAUCUAAGAAGCUUCUCUUGGGAGCAAAUGGAAACCAUCACAGAAAACCACAACUGGACACAAUAGAGAGAUCAACAGAUGAUGAGAAGCCUGGCUCCAGUGGAUCCAACGCCAUCAUAGCUCUGCCACUAUGGCUCAAAAAACAUUGGGGAAGAGAGGGAGGAAAGGCUAUAAGAGCUAGAGCACCAGAAAGUCUUCUGUGAAUCCAGUUCUCCUGUAAAUGGCUGCAUGAGCAAGACCACGACAAUGGCAACAUCAGUGGAUGUGUUUAUGUGAAAGGGAGAAAGUAUCACAGGGUCCCAUUCCUAGACAAAGAACUAUGGGUCACAAAUGACUUCUGGGAGAAGGAGAAUUGGCUUCUACUAAGAAUGAACACACUUAUUGCUUUUCCAGUGCAGAGGGGAAAGUGAUAUACAAAUGACUAACCAAAUCAGGUUCUAUCAAGAUACAUAUACACAUACAUAUGUGUGUAUGUUAAUACAUAUAUACACAUAUAAAUAUAAACACAUAUACAUAUAUAUAAAACCUUGGAGAGAGAGAGGGAGAGAGAGAGAGAGAGCAUAAUAGUUAAGGAAAAUAUCAACUUGAGGAAUAAUUGGAGAAGUUGGAGUGGAGGGAGGGUAUCUGGGAGGGUGGCAGGGAGGAAAGAGGAGGUAGAGGUGAUGCAAUACUAUUUUAAUCAAUAAAUAUGUAUUUUAAAAAUAAGACAUUAGCUUUGACCAUGUCUAUGUAUGUAAUUGAGUUAUGUUCUGGCUUUGAGAUAGACUGUAGCAGAUUUUUCUUCUUCUUUUUUUUUAGGUUAGGAAUUAUUUACUGAAUAAAUUGACAGUGGUAACUGUG
RNAcentral lists this long non-coding RNA (978 nucleotides) under Mus caroli (Ryukyu mouse). RNAcentral describes it as "RIKEN cDNA 5330439A09 gene (MGP_CAROLIEiJ_G0004124.1)". The record is from RNAcentral. Lineage: Eukaryota; Metazoa; Chordata; Mammalia; Rodentia; Muridae.